RNAcentral lists this ribosomal RNA (442 nucleotides) under uncultured Prevotella sp. Its description in RNAcentral is "bacterial SSU rRNA". It matches the Rfam family "Bacterial small subunit ribosomal RNA", at positions 355 to 794 of the family's 1533-position model. Lineage: Bacteria; Pseudomonadati; Bacteroidota; Bacteroidia; Bacteroidales; Prevotellaceae. The record is from RNAcentral.
UGAGGAAUAUUGGUCAAUGGACGGAAGUCUGAACCAGCCAAGUAGCGUGCAGGAUGACGGCCCUAUGGGUUGUAAACUGCUUUUAUGCGGGGAUAAAGUGGGCUACGUGUAGCCUAUUGCAGGUACCGCAUGAAUAAGGACCGGCUAAUUCCGUGCCAGCAGCCGCGGUAAUACGGAAGGUCCGGGCGUUAUCCGGAUUCAUUGGGUUUAAAGGGAGCGUAGGCCGCCUUUUAAGCGUGUUGUGAAAUGUCCUGGCUCAACCAGGGCACUGCAGCGCGAACUGGAGGGCUUGAGUACGCACAACGUGGGCGGAAUUCGUGGUGUAGCGGUGAAAUGCUUAGAUAUCACGAAGAACUCCGAUUGCGAAGGCAGCUCACGGGAGCGCAACUGACGCUGAAGCUCGAAAGUGCGGGUAUCGAACAGGAUUAGAUACCCUGGUAGU